Molecule: long non-coding RNA, 487 nt
Filed under: Malus domestica (apple)
Lineage: Eukaryota; Viridiplantae; Streptophyta; Magnoliopsida; Rosales; Rosaceae
Description: long non-coding RNA (MDOM_LNC011018)
Source: RNAcentral
CAAAUCUGACGGGUUGACAGAAAAAUAAUAACCAGUCAUUCAUCAUACCUGAAUUUCUUGAGUUAUACAGCUCUGAGGGAUCUCAAAUUUGGAUAUGUUGUAGUUCACAAGCUGAGGAACAACUUCAAUGAAGAAAUCAUGCUGAUCUGAGCAAGAGAAAAUAGAGUUUCAAAGCUCACAACAAAUCUGACGGGUUGACAGAAAAAUCAUAACCAGUCAUUCAUCAUACCUGAAUUUCUUGAGUUAUACAGCUCCGAGGGAUCUCAAAUUUGGAUAUGUUGUAGUCACAAGCUGAGGAACAACUUCAAUGAAGAAAGCAUGCUGAUCUGAGCAAGAGAAAAUAGAGUUUCAAAGCUCACAACAAAUCUGACGGGUUGACAGAAAAAAUCAUAACCAGUCAUUCAUCAUACCUGCAUUUCUUGAGUUAUACAGCUCCGAGGGAUCUCAAUUUUGGAUAUGUUGUAGUUCACAAGUUAAGGAACAACUU